RNAcentral lists this ribosomal RNA (1530 nucleotides) under uncultured soil bacterium. RNAcentral describes it as "bacterial SSU rRNA". It matches the Rfam family "Bacterial small subunit ribosomal RNA". The record is from RNAcentral.
AGAGUUUGAUCCUGGCUCAGGACGAACGCUGGCGGCGUGCUUAACACAUGCAAGUCGAACGGACUGGCCCUGGCUUUUUUUGGGGUUGGUGAGUGGCGAACGGGUGAGUAACACGUGAGUAACCUGCCCUUGACUCUGGGAUAAGCGCCGGAAACGGUGUCUAAUACUGGAUGUGACUUCUGCCUGCAUGGGUGGGGGUGGAAAGAUUUUUUGGUUGGGGAUGGGCUCGCGGCUUAUCAGCUUGUUGGUGGGGUGAUGGCUUACCAAGGCUUUGACGGGUAGCCGGCCUGAGAGGGUGACCGGUCACAUUGGGACUGAGAUACGGCCCAGACUCCUACGGGAGGCAGCAGUGGGGAAUAUUGCACAAUGGGCGGAAGCCUGAUGCAGCGACGCCGCGUGAGGGAUGGAGGCCUUCGGGUUGUGAACCUCUUUCGCUCGUGGUCAAGCCGCCCCUGUGGGGGGUGGUGAGGGUAGCGGGUAAAGAAGCUCCGGCUAACUACGUGCCAGCAGCCGCGGUAAUACGUAGGGAGCGAGCGUUGUCCGGAAUUAUUGGGCGUAAAGGGCUUGUAGGCGGUUUGUUGCGUCUGCCGUGAAAUUCCCUGGCUUAACUGGGGGCGUGCGGUGGGUACGGGCAGGCUUGAGUGCGGUAGGGGAGACUGGAAUUCCUGGUGUAGCGGUGGAAUGCGCAGAUAUCAGGAGGAACACCGGUGGCGAAGGCGGGUCUCUGGGCGUUACUGACGCUGAGGAGCGAAACGUUGGGGAGCGAACAGGAUUAAAUACCCUGGUAGUCCAUGCUGUAAACGUUGGGCACUAGGUGUUGGGGCCUCCCUUGGUUUCGCGCCGUAGCUAACGCUUUAAUUGCCCCCCUGGGGAGUACGGCGCAAGCUAAAACUCCAAGGAAUUGACGGGGGCCCGCAAAACGGGGGGAGCAUGCGGAUUAAUUCGAUGCAACCGCAAAGAACCUUACCAAGGCUUGACAUGCGCCCUGAGCACCCUGAGUGGGUGCCAUUGGUUGGGGGUGCCAGGGGUCGCAUGGUUGUCGUCAGCUCGUGUCGUAGAGAUGUUGGGUUAAGUCCCGCAACGAGCGCAACCACCCUUGCCCUAUGUUGCCAGCACGUGAUGGUGGGGACUCGUGGGGGACUGCCGGGGUUAACUCGGAGGAAGGUGGGGAUGACGUCAAAUCAUCAUGCCCCUUAUGUCUUGGGCUCCACGCAUGCUACAAUGGCUGGUACAGAGGGUUGCGAUGCCGUGAGGUGGAGCGAAUCCCUUAAAGCUGGUCUCAGUUCGGAUUGGGGUCUGCAACUCGACCCCAUGAAGGUGGAGUCGCUAGUAAUCGCAGAUCAGCAGUGCUGCGGUGAAUACGUUCUCGGGCCUUGUACACACCGCCCGUCACGUCAUGAAAGUUGGUAACGCCCGAAGCCCAUGGCCUAACCGGUUUGUCUGGGGGGAGUGGUCGAAGGUGGGACUGGCGAUUGGGACGAAGUCGUAACAAGGUAGCCGUACCGGAAGGUGCGGCUGGAUCACCUCCUU